UCUGGUGUCCUAGGCGUAGAGGAACCACACCAAUCCAUCCCGAAUUUGGUGGUUAAACUCUACUGCGGUGACGAUACUAUAGGGGAGGUCCUGCGGCAAAAUAGCUCGAUGCCAGAA
This 117-nucleotide ribosomal RNA is filed under the name Triticum aestivum (bread wheat). Lineage: Eukaryota; Viridiplantae; Streptophyta; Magnoliopsida; Poales; Poaceae. The record is from RNAcentral.